Molecule: ribosomal RNA, 405 nt
Filed under: uncultured bacterium
Lineage: Bacteria
Description: partial 16S ribosomal RNA
Rfam family: Bacterial small subunit ribosomal RNA
Source: RNAcentral
AUUGAACGCUAGCGGGAUGCUUUACACAUGCAAGUCGAACGAGUGGCGGACGGGUGAGUAAUAUAUCGGAACGUGCCCAGUAGCGGGGGAUAACUACUCGUAAGAGUGGCUAAUACCGCAUACUAUUGGAGCGCCCGAUAUCGGAUUAGCGAGUUGGUGGGGUAAAGGCUCACAAGGGCAACGAUCCGUAGCUGGUUUGCGAGGACGAUCAUCCCAGCGGAGACUGCGCAACGCCCCCGCCUCCUACGGAGGGCGGCAGUGGUGAAGUUUAGACAAUGGGGGAAUCCCUGAGCCAGCAGUCCCGCGUGUAUUGGAAGGCCUUCGGGUUGUAAAGUACUUUUGGCGGAGAAGCGGUAUCUGCAGAAUAAGCACCGGCUAACUACGUGCCAGCCGCCGCGGUAAUAC